This is a non-coding RNA of Orycteropus afer afer, 405 nucleotides long. The record is from the annotation of a RefSeq genome assembly. NCBI's taxonomy places the organism in Eukaryota, Metazoa, Chordata, Mammalia, Tubulidentata, Orycteropodidae.
AUGGACACGCUUGGUUCCACUCUCCUGCUGCUGACGCUCCCUUCCUGGGUUCUGUCCCAGGUCACCCUGAAGGAGUCCGGCCCUGGGCUGCUGAAACCCACCCAGACCCUGUCGCUGACCUGCUCCUUCUCCGGGUUCUCAAUGAGCACUACUAAUAUGGGUGUGGGCUGGAUCCGCCAGCCUCCAGGGAAGGCCCUGGAGUGGCUCAUAAACAUAUGGUCGAAUGAUGCUAAGUAUUACAACCCAUCUCUGAAGAGCCGGCUCACAAUCUCCAAAGACACCUCCAAAAACCAAGUGUUUCUAACUCUGACCAACAUGGACCCUGCAGACACAGCCAUGUAUUACUGUGCACAUGCAGCACAGAGACACAGCACAGGGGACCUUCUGUACAAGAACCCGGGCUGA